Long non-coding RNA from Aedes albopictus (Asian tiger mosquito), 6941 nucleotides. RefSeq lists it as uncharacterized. The record is from RefSeq and is a predicted model, not a curated record. NCBI's taxonomy places the organism in Eukaryota, Metazoa, Arthropoda, Insecta, Diptera, Culicidae. The transcript has 4 exons.
ACCCAUGCAUGCGAAACAGCAAAGCGCGGCUUUUUUGAUGGCUUGAUAACCUUAGCAAGAAAAUAGGCUCAAACCAAACCCAACCAACUACAUUGAGGUAUCGUGGUUUUUUUAGGUAACAUGAUGAACAGUUGCGAAAAAUAGACGCAAGCCAUAUCAGUGUGUUACGGAACGGAUUCCAGGUGUCCCGCCAGAAAUGGUCAAAUGUAAAAGAGAACCAAUACAUGCGACAUAUCAUUGACUUAUUCAGUAACAUGAUAAACGGUUAGCCAGCAAAUAAUCACAGACCAUAUUUGGGAGAACCGGUAGUGUUCCAGAACUGGUGAUGAGACGAGUAACCCGCCGGAAGUGGUAAAAUAUAGAGGGAAAUCAAACCAGAGCAGCGUUUUUGAUAAUCUGAUUAACGGUCAACAAGAAAAUAGUCUCAGGCCACAUCUAGAACUACUAAUAGUAUUUUGGAAUCGGUUGCGGGUGUUCCAUCGGAAGUGAUUUAAUACUAAUAGCGAACCAAAAUCAUGCAUGCGAUACAGAAAAUCGCGGCUUUUUCAAAAAAUUUCCGAACAUUCAGCAAGAAAAUAGCUUUCUGCUUUUGGCAACCCGAUGAACAGUUGACUAAAACAUAAUCUCAGACCAUAUUUGAGACAAACGGAAUCGGUUCCAGGUGUCCCGCCGAAAAAGGUCAAACGUAAAAUUUAACAAAACCCAUGCAAGCUGCACAUCAAAUAGCGGAAUUAUAAAGGUGAACAAAAUGAAUGUCAAAGCGAUAAAUCAAAUUGCGGCUUUUUUGAUAGCAUGUAAACGUUGUGUAAGACUAUAAGUGAAGAAAUGGUCAAAGUCUUCAUAUAUGCAAGAGAACAAAAUCGUGACCAAAGCGAUAUCUUCAAAUCACACCAUUUCAGAUCCCUGCGGUGAAAAUGUAUAGUAGGAUGGAUCAACGUUUUAUGGAAAAUAUUUAAUCUAAUUGCAUCAACACCUUAUACAGUUUUUCAAUCUUCAAUCUCCUAAUGCUUCUAAAAUUAUAGCUCACAAUUUGGGUGCGGCUGGUUGAGCCCUCACUCUUCUCAUUGCGAUUGAAAUUUGAAUGAAAAAAUUACACAAUUGCUGAAAUAAACAUUGACGAAGAUCACAAAGUGAUCUGUGAUUGUGAAUAAAGUUAACCUUCCUCAUGCAUUAGCUGACGCUCACCCCGCUGCCGUAGUGGAUGGAAUGGGGUCAUAAUGACUCCAAUACACGACUAGGGUUAAGGUGGUCAAGCAGUCAACUGAGAGGUCUGAUAUUUUCAGCUCUGUUUUGCUGUUGAACAUAGCAUCGGAAUAUGUAUCAUCAAUAAGUUUCGAAAAUCGAUGAUGGCUUUGUUAAAAUUGUUGCUUUUCUAUAUGAAGUGUUUUCAGGGUUCAGGAACAUUUUGGCUAACGUCGACGAAAAGUUCAUGAGUACAUAUUCGACGAGAAAGGCACUAUCACCGCUAGGUGGAUUAAUCUGUUUUUUUUCUUGAAAUAAUUAAAAAUUCACCUAUUUAUUCUCUAGGAAUUCUCUACGGUAGAUUUCCCAACAAUUUGAUGACCAAUUUGCUUUCUAGAGGUUUUGAGAACCGUCAUAAAACCAUGAUAAUUUUAUUUUGGAUUUAUGAUGGUUCUUAUAAGUUCCUCAAAGCAACUCGACUUAAAAAUGUUACUUUGAUUCUAUGAAUUCCUUCUGAAGAUUCACAAGGAAUAAGCUUAGAAUCUUUUGAAGCUUAUCAUCGGAAACCUCUCCAGGGAGUGCUUCAGAAUUUCCUUUGAAGAUUUCUUUAAAAAUUCUUUCGAAGAUUUGUUAAUUAAAUCAUCCAGUGGCUUACACAAUUUUGCAGAUUUUUUCGGGGAUUUUUUUUUCUGGGAUUCCUCCAGAGAUUCCUGCAGGUGUUCAUGAGAUUUCUUCAGUAUUUCCUCCAAAUAUUCCUUGAUGAUUUUCUCUUAGGAUAACUUCAACCAUUUCUUGACGAAUUUAUUAGGAUUUUUUCCAAAAGUAUUUCCUUGGAAUUUCUACGGAAAUUCGAUUAGAAAUAUCUCAAUUUCUUGUGAUCUAAGUAUCUUAUGUAGACGCAGACUCCAGGUAUUCAGGAUUUUUUUAUCAGAAAUUCGUCCACAGAUUUCUCCAAGAAUACUUCCAGAAUUUUUACCCUGAAUUUCUACUUUAAUAUUUUUUUCUAGGAAUUCCACCAAAGAAUUACCCUAAUAUUUUUUGGGUCCUCCUUAGAUUCAAUCAAAAGUAUUUUCUAAGAUUUCACUGAAGGUUUCUUCACUACCAACAAAUUUUGCACCGGAAUGUGGAAUUUCGCUGAAGUCCACAUAAACAAAUGAGAGGUACAAGCAAACGGUCCAGCUUCCUAAUCACGGAGCUACUCAGGCAUUCUUUUAUAAAUUCUUGCUAGGAUUCCUUUUUAGGAAAUACGUUUGUCUCCAGAAACAUAAAUUUAGUGAAUUCUAAAGGAAUUCCAGCAUGGAAUUUCUUCAGAAGCUAUUGCAAAAAGUUUUUCAGAAAUUCUUCUCAAAAUUUGAUUAUAAAUCUUACAGGGAUUGCAUCGGAAAUUGUAUCCAGGGCUUUAAAAAGAAUUCUUUUGAAAAAAAUCCUUCAGUGAUUUCUACAUAAAUUCCGACAAGGUUUGUUUUCAAAAAUAUCUCCCGGGAUGUCUUAAGAGGUGUCUUAAGAGGUCUUAAGAGGUGUUUAGAUGUGCCUUCAAUGUUUUCAGAAGUUCUUCCAGAAAUUGCACAAACACAAAAUAUUUUUUAAAGGACGUGAUGGAAUUUCAGAGAAAUUCCUAAUGGAUUGCUUCAAAAAAUCCCUCAAAAUUUCCGGAAAUACCUCUGGAAGCUCCUACAAGAAAUUCUUGAAAAUUGUGUGAAGAAAUUCCCUUAGCAAUUUCUUAAGAUAUCUUGUGCACAAUUGUUGGAUGAAUAUUCAGAACAAUACCUUGGAUAAUACCUGUAGAAGCAUCUUAAAAUACGCAGAAUACUCAUAAAUAAAUAAAAACGUGAAAGGCUUAUGGAGGAACUCUUCAAGUAAUUCCAAGGAAAAAAAGGCUUGAGAAACCACUACAGGUGUUCCUGGCAAAAUCUACAGAGUAAAUUCCGAAUGAGUCUCCUUAAAAUGACUACGGAAAUCGCAGACAAAGGUACUGGUGUAAUUCUUGAUGAAAUCCCUCAAUAAAUUUUAAAGGGUACUCUCAAGGAUUUUCUUAACGAACCCUUGGAAGAACUCUAGAAGAGGAAUUAUAAUAGAACCCCUUAACAAAUCCCGGGAGGAAUUACGAGAGAAAUUUCUGAGAAUUGACCAGUUUCAAGACAAAUCUUUUGAGAAAUUUCUUGAGAAAUUCCUGAAGAAGUGCCAAGACAAAUUUCUGGGGGUAUUCCUGAAAGAAUCUCCUUAGAGAAAUUUACGGAUAUGGAUGCAUUUUGAAGGGAAACUAAGAGAAAUCUUUAGAGGAAUUACUGCAGUCUAUGAAAUCCUUCUUCAGAAAAUGUAUGAUAAACCUUCAAAGAAUGCCCAAAGCAGUUUCUGGUGGUGUACCUGAAUGUAAUCCUGGAGAAUUUCUAGAAAUUUUAAGGAAAAUUCUUGCAAAACUGGUUCUUGAAAUGUGCUAUUCACAACAAAUUUUAUGAAAUAAUAAUGCAUGGAAGAGUUUUCCCCCCCGCAAGCGAAAAAUAGGCAACAAAGAAGAGACGGCAACAACGCUUUGUUUUUUCAUUAGCAGAUAAUGACAAAGAUCGUUCCCGAGUUUGUUUGCAACAAAAACGAUAGGAAUAUUUGUCUCGUUCUCUUCACAUCGUGAUUUUCGCAUUGUUUUUCAACUGAAAUUCGACUUUAACGUUUGCAAAAGUUCUAAUUCAUCCAAAUGCUUAUAAAUUCGACGAUGUGGGUCGAAAAUUUCAGCAGAAAAGCCGAAAUAUCAACACACGCACGGCAAGCGAUGUUUGUUUUCUUGCUCUCGUCGCCUGACAUGCGUUUGUUGCGGAGCGCCUUUGUUACUGUUGCCGCUGGGAGCACUGCCUUCUCUUGCUCAUGGUGACAUACGAAUGACAGGAGCGAAUUGUGUGUAGAAUGAACAGAAGGAAAUAUUGAAACCAAAAGUGACUUGCAAUCUGUGUAUCUCAAACUAUAUUUAAAGGGCUAUUCUAUUUUAAUAGCUCUAUUUAAUACUAGUAAUUUGUUAUUCUAAUUAUGGCUAGAGAGAACUAGAUUACAAUGCUGGACUUAUCUAAGCUGUCAUAUCAACUACAGUGAAUGGAUUUAUAACUACUAUUAAUUGUGCGCGAUUAGGCAGAUUAAGGCGAUUUACACGGUGAAGACACUGAAAGUUUUAAAGCUGCGCUAAACUAUACCUACAGGUCUGGUGCUGCUAACAACCCAGUGUCCGAAAAUGCAAUCUGCUGCUCGCCGUAACAGUUACCAACAUGCACCGCUUAGGACAAAGCGUUUGUUUUUCGGCGUGAUCCGUUUUUCGUACCCUACUCCAUGAACGUCUUUCAGGGUUCCGAUAGUGUUUGUUUCAGGGCUUGUUCCAAGAAAUGCUUCUGGAAUUUGUCCCACGAUUCUCUCAGAAAUCCUUACAGAUACUUUUGGAAGGAUACAAUCGAAGAUUUUUUCCAUGAAAUUUCCCAUAGCUAUCUUUAGUAAUUUCAUCACGGAUUCUUUCAGAUUUCCUCCAAAAACUUCACCAGACAUCCUUCCGAGAUUUUUCGGUAUGGGGCUGUCCAUAAAUCACGUGGUCUUGCUUUCUGAACUUUGGACCUCCGAAGACUGCUUUAAUAGUUCCAAAGAGUUCUGACUUCUGAGGGGUUCAUCCGGGAGUUCCUACCGGAAUUCCUCCAGGAAGUCUCCUGGAAAUUGCUCUAGGAGUUCCGCCGGAAAUGUAUCCCGGAUUUUUUCUGGGAUUUUUAAUUUAUAUUUUUUCCUAUAUAAGUAGCAUCGUGAAUUAUUUCAGGAGUUUGAUCAGGAAUUCCUUCAGGAGUAACUUUGAGAACUUCUGCAGGAGUUACUCCGGAAUUGAUCCAAGAAUUCCUCCAGGAGCUUCUCCGGAAAUUUCUCCAGGAGUUGCUCCAAGAAUACCUCUGACAGUUUCACUGGGAAUGCCUCUAGGAGUUUUACUAGGAGUUUCUAGAGGAGUUUCACUAGACAUUUCAUUAGGAAUUUCAUCGGGAACUCCUCGAGGAGAUGCAUAGGAAAUUUCUCUGGAAGUUCUGUCGGGAUUUCCUGUAAAAAUAAUCAUAAGAAAUCUCAUUUGGAGGUGCGCUGGCAUUUCACUGGGAAUGUUUCCAAUUUUGCUACUGGGAAUUCUUCUAGGAAUGCCACUGGGAAUUUCUUAACCUUUCAGGACGCGCGCCUGUUUGAUCCUAAAACUACACCGCGCUCGCGCUGUAUACGACGAGCGAGGUUUUUUGGUAAUGUUGUACUUUUUACAACAGCGCCCGUUCUGAAGGGUUAAGAAAUCACUCCUGAAAUUCGUCCAUCAGUUCUUUUGCGAAUACUUCCAGGAUUUCUUCCGAUAACUAUUUCGUCGCUUAUUUUAUCUGUGCGAGUUCCACUACGAAUUUCUCCAGGCUUUCCACUGAAAAUUUUUCUAAGAUUUCCGGUGGGAAUUUCACUAGGAGUUGAACUGGGAAUUUCUCCAGAAGCAAUAGAGUGAACAGUAAAAACUAUGCGUUUAUUGACAUUUUUUUUUUCAUCACAAUGUUGUGGUAAACACUACUGUUUGGAUCUUUUUGAUCUUUUCAUUUGAGAACCACAAAAUGGUAUUUCCGGCAAGUAACGUGAUUUAUUUACACCACAAAUACAUUCACUUUCUUCAAAGCGCUAUAAGCUAUAAUGUGUUUAAAGUAACAAAUAUCAAGAACAAGACAUUUCUCUAUAACAUCACAGAUAAAUGAAGCAAACCAUUUUCAGUUAAUUUAUUCAGCAUUAUUGCCAUUUAUUGCCAUUUCAGGAAUGCACUUAUCUGAAUUGAAUUGCUACGAACGCUUUUGAACAAAUCCAAAAAAAAGCGUUAACAAGAAGAGCUGCACUUGUACUUCAAAUUUGAAAUAGGAAAACCUAGGGUAUCUUCGGCAGUUUUGUUCUCUUCGUGUACAGUGGUUUUAAUCCACUAAGUUGACUCAAAAUUUGGUCGUACCAUUCAGCUUGGUAGGAAAAGUUUUGGAGCCGCUUUUGAGUUUAACGAGAAAUCCUCCACGACCAAGGAAACUGAACUGCCGGAAAUACUUCAGCUCCCAGCUGCCUCUGUCUUACUCAACUUCAUCAAGCACUUCACUUACGUUAGUUGGAAUAUUGAUCAAAGAUGCUGCACAUUUGUUAUUAUUCUUUUGUUAAAUGUUUUUCAGUUUGUCUCUUGGAUCGAUGCCACGGAUUUUGUCGAGAAUCUUUCUUUCGUUGGCGGCGGCAUCGUCCUUUCAGGCAAAAUUGAUCGCUGUUACAUGGCUCUGAACACUUCUCGUUCGAGUCUGUAGGAGUGAAAAUCAUUUCCGAGGCACUUAGUCGAUAUGCUUCCGUCUGGGAUUCGUAGCCUUGCAUGACGUGCAAUAUAAUAAGGUUGUGUACGUAUGGAGUCACCGUCGGAACCGCGACAAUGACAAUUGAUAGGAAAAUAAUGCUCAGAUUUACAGUUUUCAUUAUGAAUAUUAGUCGCCAACGAAUUGAGAGCUACUUGUCUGAAAAGCGGUCACAUUAUAACUAACAAUCGAAGCGAAGAUGAUCCUCUCUUUAAGCGUUACAAUUGGUUUAUUGUGGGAAACCCGAAAUGAAAAUAGUUAGCUGUCGUGUUGUGAAAUGUACCGUAAUCCGGGGUAGCAUUGACCAAAAUAAUCAAUCUUAAUUUAUCAAUUCCGAUUUUUGAAGGAUUCCAAGGAUUUCUCCAGGGAUUCCAAGAACUCCAGGGAUUCCUUCAGGAAUUCCUCCAAGGAUUCAUUCAG